CCUACGGGGGGCAGCAGUGGGGAAUAUUGGACAAUGGGGGCAACCCUGAUCCAGCCAUGCCGCGUGUGUGAAGAAGGCCCUCGGGUUGUAAAGCACUUUCAGUGAGGAAGAACGCCUGGUAGUUAAUACCCAUCAGGAAAGACAUCACUCACAGAAGAAGCACCGGCUAACUCCGUGCCAGCAGCCGCGGUAAUACGGAGGGUGCGAGCGUUAAUCGGAAUUACUGGGCGUAAAGCGCGCGUAGGUGGCUUGAUAAGCCGGUUGUGAAAGCCCCGGGCUCAACCUGGGAACGGCAUCCGGAACUGUCAAGCUAGAGUGCAGGAGAGGAAGGUAGAAUUCCCGGUGUAGCGGUGAAAUGCGUAGAGAUCGGGAGGAAUACCAGUGGCGAAGGCGGCCUUCUGGACUGACACUGACACUGAGGUGCGAAAGCGUGGGUAGCAAACAGGAUUAGAUACCCGUGUAGUC
Molecule: ribosomal RNA, 465 nt
Filed under: Vreelandella stevensii
Lineage: Bacteria; Pseudomonadati; Pseudomonadota; Gammaproteobacteria; Oceanospirillales; Halomonadaceae
Description: partial 16S ribosomal RNA
Rfam family: Bacterial small subunit ribosomal RNA
Source: RNAcentral